AUCGUUUUUCGGUCCGCUUGAGCUGCAAUCUGGUGUCAUUGUGGCAGCCAACUACUAAGAAAGAAAAUGAAGGUGGUAUUGAAGCGAUUAAUGGAGACCUUGUUCACUCUUGCAUCCUUUCUUUCCCUCCAUCCAACGCGGCACAACUCAUUUGUCACCCAUCUCAGAUGUUUUCGUUGAAGAUAAGGUAAUUGGUUCACCAUCAGAAUGUGAUGCAAAAGUUAAUGUGAUAAGUGAUCAACCUUCUGCCAUGUUGAAAUUUUCAAGCAUUCUCUUGAAGACCUACUCAUGUUGUUUCCCAUGAUUCCUUGUCUUUCGAUAGUUUAUUUUACCACAUAUAUAAGUGUAGUUGUCGUGGACGCAGUUGGUCUUGGAGCUCAAGGAAGUAAUGGGUUUAUAGCUGCUGAUAUUUAGUGUUCUUCGCUCAUUUUUUAUGUGCCUAUUAUAUCUGCAUGAGAGGACCUUCUUUUUUCUGGAAGUUGCCCGUGCAAGUCUUUCACCAUUGUUCCAAACUGGAAAUUCUGGUUGGCCAGAUAUGUUCAAAUUGCCAGCUGUUAUUGUCCUUGCAUCUUCUAAUUGGUAAAUGUACCUCACACAUCACAUUUCUUUGACAGUAAUAUGCAUUGGAUUAUGGCUUUUCUUUUUAGGCCCUGUCAGGCAAGAUGUUCCUCACACUAUAGAUGCAUAUUAUGUUAUUUUAAUCAAUGGAGUUGUUUCAAAA
This is a long non-coding RNA of Mangifera indica (mango), 721 nucleotides long. RefSeq lists it as uncharacterized. The record is from RefSeq and is a predicted model, not a curated record. Lineage: Eukaryota; Viridiplantae; Streptophyta; Magnoliopsida; Sapindales; Anacardiaceae. The transcript is spliced from 4 exons.